Molecule: ribosomal RNA, 482 nt
Filed under: uncultured bacterium
Lineage: Bacteria
Description: partial 16S ribosomal RNA
Rfam family: Bacterial small subunit ribosomal RNA
Source: RNAcentral
GACGAACGCUGGCGGCGUGCUUAACACAUGCAAGUCGAACGCUGAAGCUCAGCUUGCGGGGUGGAUGAGUGGCGAACGGGUGAGUAACACGUGAGUAACCUGCGCUCUUCUUUGGGAUAAAGCCCGAAGACGGGGGCUAAAACUGGAUAUUCAAUGAUUCGCGCCAGGGGGGUGGUGGGAAGGUUUUUUCGGGUGGGGGAGGGGCUCGCGGUCUAUCAGCUGGUUGGUGGGGAGAUGGCGUCCGAAGGUUUGGACGGGUAGCCGGCCGGGGGGGGUGGCCGGUCACAUUGAGACUGAGCAUCGGCCCUGACUCCUACGGGAGGCAGCAGUGGGGAAUAUCGCACAAUGGGCUAGAGCCUGAUGCAGCGACGCCGCGUGAGGGAGGGAGGCCUUCGGGUUGGACACCUCUGUCGCACAUGGUCAUGCCGCAGCUUUGGGUUGUGGUGACGGUAGUGGGUAAAGAAGCGCCGGCUAACUACGUG